Molecule: small nuclear RNA, 107 nt
Filed under: Neogale vison (American mink)
Lineage: Eukaryota; Metazoa; Chordata; Mammalia; Carnivora; Mustelidae
Source: RNAcentral
GUGCUUGCUUCGGCAGCAUAUAUACUAAAAUUGGAAUGAUACAGAGAAGAUUAGCAUGGCCCCUGCACAAGGAUGACAUGCAAAUUCAUGAAGCGUUCCAUAUUUUU